GAUGAACGCUGGCGGCGUGCCUAAUACAUGCAAGUCGAGCGAACGGACGAGAAGCUUGCUUUUCUGAUGUUAGCGGCGGACGGGUGAGUAACACGUGGAUAACCUACCUAUAAGACUGGGAUAACUUCGGGAAACCGGAGCUAAUACCGGAUAAUAUUUUGAACCGCAUGGUUCAAAAGUGAAAGACGGUCUUGCUGUCACUUAUAGAUGGAUCCGCGCUGCAUUAGCUAGUUGGUAAGGUAACGGCUUACCAAGGCAACGAUGCAUAGCCGACCUGAGAGGGUGAUCGGCCACACUGGAACUGAGACACGGUCCAGACUCCUACGGGAGGCAGCAGUAGGGAAUCUUCCGCAAUGGGCGAAAGCCUGACGGAGCAACGCCGCGUGAGUGAUGAAGGUCUUCGGAUCGUAAAACUCUAUUAUUAGGGAAGAACAUAUGUGUAAGUAACUGUGCACAUCUUGACGGUACCUAAUCAGAAAGCCACGGCUAACUACGUG
RNAcentral lists this ribosomal RNA (497 nucleotides) under uncultured bacterium. RNAcentral's name for it is "partial 16S ribosomal RNA". It matches the Rfam family "Bacterial small subunit ribosomal RNA", at positions 28 to 507 of the family's 1533-position model. The record is from RNAcentral.